UCAAUUUUUGGUGAAAAAAUUUGAUACGUGGGGGUAUACCCGAAAAAUGAAAAAACCCAAACUUUGAAGGUCGAUAUCUCGGCUUCUAUGGGAGCUAUCGGGGAAAUUCCAACGGUUUUGUCUUAGUUUCGUCAUUCUGAAUCCAACGAGACCAUCCGCAAGGUCGUAGCUCUUACGAUAGCCGAGAUAUGGCAUUUUUGAUGCCCAUUUUUGGCCUCAAAAACGGACGUCGAAAACGACUUUUUCAGGAUUUUCAAAGUGCUCUCAUUCCCUUAGUUCUGCUCGGAUCCUGUUAUAACCCGGUGUUUUCGUAAUCUAGGUGAUCCAAAUAAGACGCUGGUAUACUUAGUUUGAUUUCGAAAAAAAUCAAUUUUUGGUGAAAAAUUCGAUACGGGGGGGUAUACCCGAAAAAUGAAAAAACCCAAACUUUGAAGGUCGAUAUCUCGGCUUCUAUGGGAGCUAUCGGAAAAAUUCCAACGGUUUUGUCUUAGUUUCGUCAUUCUGAAUCCAACGAGACCAUCCGCAAGGUCGUAGCUCUUACGAUAGCCGAGAUAUGGCAUUUUUGAUGCCCAUUUUUGGCCUCAAAAACGGACGUCGAAAACGACUUUUUCAGGAUUUUCAAAGUGCUCUCAUUCCCUUAGUUCUGCUCGGAUCCUGUUAUAACCCGGUGUUUUCGUAAUCUAGGUGAUCCAAAUAAGACGCUGGUAUACUUAGUUUGAUUUCGAAAAAAAUCAAUUUUUGGUGAAAAAUUCGA
Long non-coding RNA from Anthonomus grandis grandis, 754 nucleotides. RefSeq lists it as uncharacterized. NCBI's taxonomy places the organism in Eukaryota, Metazoa, Arthropoda, Insecta, Coleoptera, Curculionidae. The record is from RefSeq and is a predicted model, not a curated record. The transcript has 3 exons.